GUCUAUGGCCGUACCACCCUGAACAUGACUGAUCUCAUCUGACCUCAGAAGCUAAGCAGAGUCAGGCCUGAUUAGUACUUGGAUGGGAGGACAUUGAGUUGAAAUGUGACAAUAUAGGCACCUAAGGAGCCUUGGGAA
Ribosomal RNA from Bison bison bison, 138 nucleotides. The record is from Ensembl. Lineage: Eukaryota; Metazoa; Chordata; Mammalia; Artiodactyla; Bovidae.